AUACUUACCUGGCAGGGGAGAUACCACGAUCACGAAGGUGGUUUUCCCAGGGUGAGGCUUAUCCAUUGCACUCAGGAUGUGCUGACCCCUGUGAUUUCCCCAAAUGUGGGAAACUCGACUGCAUAAUUUGUGGUAGUAGGGGACUGCAUUCGUGCUCUCCCCUG
Molecule: small nuclear RNA, 164 nt
Filed under: Castor canadensis (American beaver)
Lineage: Eukaryota; Metazoa; Chordata; Mammalia; Rodentia; Castoridae
Description: U1 spliceosomal RNA (ENSCCNG00000002996.1)
Rfam family: U1 spliceosomal RNA
About the family: U1 is a small nuclear RNA (snRNA) component of the spliceosome (involved in pre-mRNA splicing). Its 5' end forms complementary base pairs with the 5' splice junction, thus defining the 5' donor site of an intron. There are significant differences in sequence and secondary structure between metazoan and yeast U1 snRNAs, the latter being much longer (568 nucleotides as compared to 164 nucleotides in human).
Source: Rfam by way of RNAcentral